AGUGAACGCUGGCGGUAGGCCUAACACAUGCAAGUCGAACGGCAGCACAGGAGAGCUUGCUCUCUGGGUGGCGAGUGGCGGACGGGUGAGGAAUACAUCGGAAUCUACUUUUUCGUGAGGGAUAACGUAGGGAAACUUACGCUAAUACCGCAUACGACGUACGGGAGAAAGAAGGGGAUCUUCGGACCUUGCGCGAUUGAAGUAGCCGAAGUCGGAUUAGCUAGUUGGCGGGGUAAAGGCCCACCAAGGCGACGAUCCGUAGCUGGUCUGAGAGGAUGAUCAGCCACACUGGAACUGAGACACGGUCCAGACUCCUACGGGAGGCAGCAGUGGGGAAUAUUGGACAAUGGGCGCAAGCCUGAUCCAGCCAUACCGCGUGGGUGAAGAAGGCCUUCGGGUUGUAAAGCCCUUUUGUUGGGAAAGAAAUCCAGCUGGUUAAUACCCGGUUGGGAUGACGGUACCCAAAGAAUAAGCACCGGCUAACUUCGUGCCAGCCGCCGCCGUAA
This 506-nucleotide ribosomal RNA is filed under the name uncultured bacterium. RNAcentral's name for it is "partial 16S ribosomal RNA". It matches the Rfam family "Bacterial small subunit ribosomal RNA", at positions 29 to 523 of the family's 1533-position model. The record is from RNAcentral.